Molecule: ribosomal RNA, 371 nt
Filed under: uncultured organism
Description: bacterial SSU rRNA
Rfam family: Bacterial small subunit ribosomal RNA
Source: RNAcentral
CGUAGGUGGCAAGCGUUGUCCGGAAUUAUUGGGCGUAAAGCGCGCGCAGGCGGUUCCUUAAGUCUGAUGUGAAAGCCCCCGGCUCAACCGGGGAAGGUCAUUGGAAACUGGGGAACUUGAGUGCAGAAGAGAAGAGCGGAAUUCCACGUGUAGCGGUGAAAUGCGUAGAGAUGUGGAGGAACACCAGUGGCGAAGGCGGCUCUUUGGUCUGUAACUGACGCUGAGGCGCGAAAGCGUGGGGAGCAAACAGGAUUAGAUAUCCUGGUAGUCCACGCCGUAAACGAUGAGUGCUAAGUGUUAGAGGGUUUCCGCCCUUUAGUGCUGCAGCUAACGCAUUAAGCACUCCGCCUGGGGAUACGGCCGCAAGGCUG